RNAcentral lists this ribosomal RNA (219 nucleotides) under Breznakibacter xylanolyticus. RNAcentral describes it as "Cytophaga xylanolytica partial 23S ribosomal RNA". It matches the Rfam family "Bacterial large subunit ribosomal RNA", at positions 2691 to 2925 of the family's 2925-position model. The record is from RNAcentral. Lineage: Bacteria; Pseudomonadati; Bacteroidota; Bacteroidia; Marinilabiliales; Marinilabiliaceae.
ACCGCGAUGGACAUACCGCUGGUGUAUCUGUUGUUCCGCCAGGGGCAGCGCAGAGUAGCUAUGUGUGGAAGGGAUAAGUGCUGAAAGCAUCUAAGCACGAAGCCCAUCUCAAGAUGAGAUCUCCUUGAGGGACGUUAAAGACGAUGACGUUGAUAGGCUGUAGGUGUAAAGGUGGUAACAUCAAAGCCGAGCAGUACUAAUUACCCGAAGCUUCUGCAU